AACGAACGCUGGCGGCAUGCCUAACACAUGCAAGUCGAACGAGAUCUUCGGGUCUAGUGGCGCACGGGUGCGUAACGCGUGGGAAUCUGCCCUUUGGUUCGGAAUAACGGUUGGAAACGACUGCUAAUACCGGAUGAUGACGAAAGUCCAAAGAUUUAUCGCCAGUGGAUGAGCCCGCGUAGGAUUAGCUAGUUGGUGUGGUAAAGGCGCACCAAGGCGACGAUCCUUAGCUGGUCUGAGAGGAUGAUCAGCCACACUGGGACUGAGACACGGCCCAGACUCCUACGGGAGGCAGCAGUGGGGAAUAUUGGACAAAGGUCGAAAGCCUGAUCCAGCAAUGCCGCGUGAGUGAUGAAGGCCUUAGGGUUGUAAAGCUCUUUUACCCGGGAUGAUAAUGACAGUACCGGGAGAAUAAGCUCCGGCUAACUCCGUGCCAGCAGCCGCCGUAA
This 449-nucleotide ribosomal RNA is filed under the name uncultured bacterium. RNAcentral's name for it is "partial 16S ribosomal RNA". It matches the Rfam family "Bacterial small subunit ribosomal RNA", at positions 29 to 523 of the family's 1533-position model. The record is from RNAcentral.